AGUGAACGCUGGCGGUAGGCCUAACACAUGCAAGUCGAACGGCAGCACAGUAGGAGCUUGCUCUUACGGGUAGCGAGUGGCGGACGGGUGAGGAAUACAUCGGAAUCUACUUUUUCGUGGGGAUAACGUAGGGAAACUUACGCUAAUACCGCAUACGACCUACGGGUGAAAGCAGGUGAUCUUCGGACCUUGCGCGAUUGAAUGAGCCGAUGUCGGAUUAGCUAGUUGGCGGGGUAAAGGCCCACCAAGGCGACGAUCCGUAGCUGGUCUGAGAGGAUGAUCAGCCACACUGGAACUGAGACACGGUCCAGACUCCUACGGGAGGCAGCAGUGGGGAAUAUUGGACAAUGGGCGCAAGCCUGAUCCAGCCAUACCGCGUGGGUGAAGAAGGCCUUCGGGUUGUAAAGCCCUUUUGUUGGGAAAGAAAAGCAGCAGGUUAAUACCCCGCUGUUCUGACGGUACCCAAAGAAUAAGCACCGGCUAACUUCGUG
Molecule: ribosomal RNA, 491 nt
Filed under: uncultured bacterium
Lineage: Bacteria
Description: partial 16S ribosomal RNA
Rfam family: Bacterial small subunit ribosomal RNA
Source: RNAcentral